This 544-nucleotide ribosomal RNA is filed under the name uncultured Chaetomium. RNAcentral describes it as "SSU rRNA". It matches the Rfam family "Eukaryotic small subunit ribosomal RNA", at positions 548 to 1098 of the family's 1831-position model. The record is from RNAcentral. Lineage: Eukaryota; Fungi; Ascomycota; Sordariomycetes; Sordariales; Chaetomiaceae.
UUGGAGGGCAAGUCUGGUGCCCGCAGCCGCGGUAAUUCCAGCUCCAAUAGCGUAUAUUAAAGUUGUUGAGGUUAAAAAGCUCGUAGUUGAACCUUGGGCCUAGCCGGCCGGUCCGCCUCACCGCGUGCACUGGCUCGGCUGGGUCUUUCCUUCUGGAGAACCGCAUGCCCUUCACUGGGUGUGCCGGGGAACCAGGACUUUUACUCUGAACAAAUUAGAUCGCUUAAAGAAGGCCUAUGCUCGAAUACAUUAGCAUGGAAUAAUAGAAUAGGACGUGUGGUUCUAUUUUGUUGGUUUCUAGGACCGCCGUAAUGAUUAAUAGGGACAGUCGGGGGCAUCAGUAUUCAAUUGUCAGAGGUGAAAUUCUCGGAUUUAUUGAAGACUAACUACUGCGAAAGCAUUUGCCAAGGAUGUUUUCAUUAAUCAGGAACGAAAGUUAGGGGAUCGAAGACGAUCAGAUACCGUCGUAGUCUUAACCAUAAACUAUGCCGAUUAGGGAUCGGACGGCGUUAUUUUUUGACCCGUUCGGCACCUUACGGGAAAC